AACGAACGCUGGCGGCGUGCUUAACACAUGCAAGUCGAACGAGAAGCCGUAGCAAUACGGUUGUAAAGUGGCAAACGGGUGAGUAAUACAUGGGUAAUCUACCCUUGGGUGGGGAAUAACUUCCCGAAAGGGAGCUAAUGCCGACUAUACGUAGCGGUCUCGAUAGGGGACUUCUAGAAAGCCGUACCGUGGGUGCGGCGCCCAAGGAUGAGCUCAUGCCCUAUCAGCUUGUUGGCGGGGUAANGGCCCACCAAGGCUACGACGGGUAGCUGGUCUGAGAGGACGACCAGCCACACUGGCACUGCGACACGGGCCAGACUCCUACGGGAGGCAGCAGUGAGGAAUAUUGCGCAAUGGGCGAAAGCCUGACGCAGCGACGCCGCGUGGGGGAUGAAGG
RNAcentral lists this ribosomal RNA (397 nucleotides) under uncultured bacterium. RNAcentral describes it as "bacterial SSU rRNA". It matches the Rfam family "Bacterial small subunit ribosomal RNA", at positions 29 to 414 of the family's 1533-position model. The record is from RNAcentral.